Molecule: ribosomal RNA, 447 nt
Filed under: uncultured bacterium
Lineage: Bacteria
Description: partial 16S ribosomal RNA
Rfam family: Bacterial small subunit ribosomal RNA
Source: RNAcentral
AGCGAACGCUGGCGGCAGGCUUAACACAUGCAAGUCGAACGCCCCGCAAGGGGAGUGGCAGACGGGUGAGUAACACGUGGGAACGUACCCUUUGGUUCGGAAUAACUUGGGGAAACUCAAGCUAAUACCGGAUAAGCCCUUAUGGGGAAAGGUUUACUGCCGAAGGAUCGGCCCGCGUCUGAUUAGCCAGUUGGUGAGGUAAUGGCUCACCAAGGCGACGAUCAGUAGCUGGUCUGAGAGGAUGAUCAGCCACACUGGGACUGAGACACGGCCCAGACUCCUACGGGAGGCAGCAGUGGGGAAUAUUGGACAAUGGGGGCAACCCUGAUCCAGCCAUGCCGCGUGAGUGAUGAAGGCCUUAGGGUUGUAAAGCUCUUUUACCCGGGACGAUAAUGACUGUACCGGGAGGAUAAGCCCCGGCUAACUUCGUGCCAGCAGCCGCCGCAG